This 253-nucleotide ribosomal RNA is filed under the name uncultured bacterium. Its description in RNAcentral is "partial 16S ribosomal RNA". It matches the Rfam family "Bacterial small subunit ribosomal RNA", at positions 524 to 776 of the family's 1533-position model. The record is from RNAcentral.
UACGGGGGGGGCAAGCGUUGUUCGGAAUUACUGGGCGUAAAGGGCUCGUAGGCGGCCAACUAAGUCGGAUGUGAAAUCCCCAAGCUUAACUUGGGAACUGCAUCCGAUACUGGAUGGCUUGAAUCCGGGAGAGGGAUGCAGAAUUCCAGGUGUAGCGGUGAAAUGCGUAGAUAUCUGGAGGAAUACCGGUGGCGAAGGCGGCAUCCUGGACCGGCAUUGACGCUGAUGAGCGAAAGCCAGGGGAGCAAACGGG